Molecule: ribosomal RNA, 1032 nt
Filed under: Bacteroidales bacterium K1
Lineage: Bacteria; Pseudomonadati; Bacteroidota; Bacteroidia; Bacteroidales
Also listed under: 1 other name
Description: bacterial LSU rRNA
Rfam family: Bacterial large subunit ribosomal RNA
Source: RNAcentral
GCGAAGCUCUGAAUUCAAGCCCCAGUAAACGGCGGCCGUAACUAUAACGGUCCUAAGGUAGCGAAAUUCCUUGUCGGGUAAGUUCCGACCCGCACGAAAGGCGUAAUGAUUUGAGCGCUGUCUCGACAAUGCACCCGGUGAAAUUGAAGUACCGGUAAAGAUGCCGGUUACCCGCGCCAGGACGGAAAGACCCCAUGGAGCUUUACUCCAGUCUGGUACUGGGAUUCGGUACUGCACGUACAGGAUAGGUGGGAGCCUUAGAAGCAGGGACGCCAGUCUCUGUGGAGGCACUGUUGGGAUACCACCCCUGUAGUAUUGGGUUUCUAACCGGCCGCCGUGACCCGGCGGCGGGACAAUGCCAGGCGGGGAGUUUGACUGGGGCGGUCGCCUCCGAAAGGGUAUCGGAGGCGCUCAAAGUUUCCCUCAGAAUGGUCGGAAACCAUUCGGAGAGUGCAAAGGCAGAAGGGAGGCUGACUGCGACACCGACGGGUGGAGCAGGUACGAAAGUAGGACUUAGUGAUCCGGUGGUAUAAAGUGGGAUUGCCAUCGCUCAACGGAUAAAAGCUACCCUGGGGAUAACAGGCUAAUCACGCCCAAGAGUUCACAUCGACGGCGUGGUUUGGCACCUCGAUGUCGGCUCAUCGCAUCCUGGGGCUGAAGCAGGUCCCAAGGGUUGGGCUGUUCGCCCAUUAAAGCGGUACGCGAGCUGGGUUCAGAACGUCGUGAGACAGUUCGGUCCCUAUCCGGCGCGGGCGUAGGAUAUUUGAGGGGAGCUGGCCUUAGUACGAGAGGACCGGGCUGGACGGACCGCUGGUGUACCAGUCGUCAUGCCAAUGGCGCCGCUGGGUAGCCAAGUCCGGAUCGGAUAAGCGCUGAAGGCAUCUAAGCGCGAAGCCGUCCCCAAGAUGAGAUAUCCCGAUCCCUUCGGGGAACAAUAGAAAGACCCUUAGAGAACAUGAGGUAGAUAGGGCAGGGGUGGAAGCAUGGCAACAUGUGCAGCUGACUGUCACUAAUCGUCUGAGGGCUUGACCU